Molecule: long non-coding RNA, 6379 nt
Organism: Orbicella faveolata
Lineage: Eukaryota; Metazoa; Cnidaria; Anthozoa; Scleractinia; Merulinidae
Source: RefSeq, a predicted model, not a curated record
UUUUUAAGUACAUUAAUGCAAAUUGUUCCGUUCUUUAUCUGGAAUCAUUUUUAGGAGUCCGUAUGCUACACCAAAAUUUGUUAAUUCGUAAGGCAUCAUGCUGCCAUAAAGAGCCUUUCUUUUUUUCUACAAGAACAAUAUAACUGCCUAUAUUUACAAAGACACAAGAAUUCAUGUAGCCAUUUUGUUUUCCGUUGAUAAAUUAAUUGUCUUUUUGCUUUUGAAUGAUGCGACAUGAUUUGGCAUUUAAUUUAUGAUUUUAGGACAUACCUAAUUUAAUUUUGUCAUUUUUGUUCCUGCAGGAUAGCAUCGCACCCCAAAAGGCCAAAAUUUCCUGUAUACAAUUUAAAAAGGAUAGUUAUUUUGGUGAAUCUAAAGUAGCAAAUUUGUUCAAGCAAGUUCACAAGUUUGAUUUUGACAAGUUCUGGUGUUGAUAAACAGUCCACCAUAGGCCAAUUAUUUUCUUUCUCUUUAACAAAGAGGUGGAAUUAUAAAAAAGAUUAUACAAUCAAUGCUGUAUCAUGAUCGCACAACGACAUUGCAAAAUUUCUUCUAAACAACAUCAAGCUUGAUUGUAACACCUAGCAUCUAAUGUUAGGCAGCGUGAUCUUUACCUGCCUCUUGCAAGAACAUCAAACGUUACAUUUGUGUACUGUACAUACCAACUAGAACUUGUCAAAGAAUAAGAUUUGUCCAACAUCUAUUAACUGAAUUCCUAUUAAAUGCACAUGUGAAAAAUCAUUUGGGAUGAAAUUUUGUCAAUGAAAUAUGAUUUCAUGGGUGUAAUGAUUAACUAUAACUUCUUUUACCGAUUGUUACGUAAUUUCCGUUUCAAGCAAAGUUAGUUUUAGGGCAAUGAAACAAGAGACAUUCCUAAUUGUGCAGGGAUGAGAAAGACCAUUGUAAGCCUGAAGAGAUUUUAUCAAAAGGACAAAUAAGGAUAAUACCGGAGAAAAGAGAUACGAAUUUCACUAUUGUGAUUUGCAUGCUUUUAGAAUACAUCAAUUAGUUUGUUAUCACGGUUUUCGUUUGAUUUAAUUCAUGCUAAAAUAGUACUUUUGUGUACGCUUUGUAUACGAGUGAUUGCAUAAUAACACAUGUAAUGUAUAGUUUCCAAAUUGUUUGUAAUUGUAUUUAUUUCGCAAAUUGACCUUUCAGUUCUUACGUUUUCAAGUGCUCCACAAGAUUAUCAAUAAAGAUCAUCAGUUCAAAAUUAAGAUGAGUGCUUGGAAUCAGUACGUCUCUGCCUCCACAAAUCCGUUAUGUAUUUAGGAAUCGAAACCCGCUACAAUGUGAGUGCCCUUAAGAAAUGUGAGUGACAGAAUUUGAAGGAGAUUUCUUAGCCUACUGGCUAAAUAAAUUCAUCAGUUCUGGUGUUAUCACCAGACAACACUUGAUGUUUCAGAACAUUGAUGCCUUUAUGACUUUAUGAACAGUUAACACAGCCCAAUCCAGUCACAAACUGGCAACAUUGGCCAACUCUGUUUAGCUUCUGUGAAUCUCUUGCUGAAGUAGCAUCAAGAAAAGGAUACAUUUUCUACCUUGGUGAUAAACACUUUGGUCUCAAAGAGCACAGAGACAUAAUGGCACAAAUACAUUCCUACUACAACCCUGGACCAUCACUAUCCACUCUGGAUUCACGAGUACUAGCACUGGUAUACAAUUCUGGUCCACAUCUGAGUAAUUUGAUGUCACUGUUAACGCUUUUAGAUACUCUCGAUGGCAUGCCAUGCAUUACAGCUCAUGGAUUAAAGAAGUAUUUGGUUGUGACUCAUUAUGAUGGGAUGCCUUUGAACAUUGGAACCUUUCCCAGUCAAGAAAAUGGCGAAACUCUCUCUGAUGGCAUUGUUCCCUCAAUUAAGCUGGAAACAAUGAGAGAACUUAAGCAAGGUGGUAAUACUGCUGUGCACAAGUUCAUUGCAGAUAACUGUUCCUGGAUAAGUGAAGUGAAAGAGUUUGAUGCCUUUGAUACCUCUGGAAAAGUUCAUGUCAAUAUUUUCACAAAGGUAUCUUCAUCUGGUGGUGAUGCUGACAAUGUAAAAAGAAAAUUGUGUGAAGUGCUUGAAUAUGUGGAGGCAUGUACUAAUUGUAUUUUGUCUGGGAAUGCAAAGAACUGCAAAUUCUCCUCUUCGAUGGAGGUUUGUACAAGAUGUAAGACACUUGACUUCGAAAAAGAGCCAUGCAUUAGUGCAAAAUGCAUACAUGUUUCUUCAGAUCAGGUCGCUUCCUAAUGCAAGGCCCACACAAAUUGAAUCAAGUUGCCUCUAAUGACAUUAAGGACCCAAGCUGCAGAUUUUUUUGGUUUUGGACUACUCUAUUUCUGUAAAAAUUGUAUUUCUUCUUUGCGUCAUUCCAGACUUAAAGACAUGCAUGAUACAUUUUUUGUGGCACUUUUAUCAUACGCCUGGGCAUCACACACAACUGCAGUAAGGAAAAUGAAAUCUGUUGCUCCAGCCAGUGUCUUUGCAUUCAGAGAUGCUCACAGUGAUGAGAUAUGUUACCAAACUGUCUCCAAGCUGCUGGAAGAUAUCAUCAAGGAAUGUGUAGCGAUUGUCACGACACUGAUUCCUGAGCAAUACAAACCCACUGCUACUGAAGUAAAGAGUCACAGCAUCCUUGGCUGGCCCCUCUAUGCUAUCAGGAAUGCAAAUGGAAACUUCUUUGGACUGAUGCUGAAUAUGAAUUUGUUGAUAUGGGCAACAGACAUAUUCCAACCAAAUGCACUGCAUUGAGAGCAUGGGAUCAGCCAGGUACCUAGUAUAAUUUCAUCUUCCUAUAUGCUGUAUAUACUGUACAGUAUAGCUAAAAGCUGUACUCUAUUCAUUUUAUAAUGGGUGAUGUUGGGAGUCACAAGUAAAUUCACCAGUACUUCUUACAUUGUAUUUACAUUUACCCUAGGCUUAUUUUUCUGUGAUGUAAUCAAUAUGAGCAUCCUAUCUGUAUGGUAAUUAUAAUGACCAAGCUAUUAUAAAUACCUAUACAGGCUGGAGACAACAAUUGUAGUGGACUUGUAAAAUGACUGUAAUUAUUUUUUCAAGACUCAAAACAGUGAUAUAAUCUUGAAAUCAGUCCCAUUCUCUGUCAGAAUUGGAGAAUGCCUAAUCCCUAUUUAGAUUACAUUUAAUGCCUAUUCUGUUUUGGGAUUUACAGUGCAUUCAUGUGACCAUACAUGUAAUAGUAUCUUUUCAUUGGAUUCAACCCAUUCGUUGUCGAAUUUUACUGAAUUUUACACCUUAAUUUAUACAAGGUUAUUUCCAUAUCAGGAACUAAUGUUUUGAUGCUGGAAAACAAACAGUCCAAGUUAGGUUGAUAUCCAGCCUCUUGUUUUAUAAUAAACCCCAAGCCAUAUGGUACCCUCCCCCCCCCCCAAAAAAAGGUAAUAACUUUCUUCAUUUUGCUUUUUAGGUCCAGCACAUUAGAGCCCUAUGUUAGCCUCUAAAGCAUCAUUUAGGCACCUAGCUGGCAUUGAUGCCCUUAUGAGCCUGGAAAAAAUGAAAUUGCAUUUGUUAGUAACAAAGGAAAUUCCUUUAUUUGCUUUAUUAAGGGGUGUUCACUCUUUUCAAACAGAUAAAUUUGUCAGUACUUUAAAAUUACAGCCUGUUCCUACCAACUGGAAACUUGAAGGGUUAGCAGUUGUUGGCACUGACACAAUUGCAGUCACAGAAGGAACCACCCGUUACUUGGUACGUAUGGAAUCAACCUUCAAUGCAGGUUAGCUUAUCGAAGUAGUUGAUAACUUGCAAUCUCCAUGUGGCCUUUGCCUGCCCAAAACGGAAGGAACUGUCUGUGUUGCUGAUGGCCACACCAUUAAACAAAUUGAAUUAGAAAGCAAAUCUGUUGGAGUCAUUGCCAAUGGUUUUAAGCAAGCUUUGGACGUAGAUUUGUCAUCAAAUGGGGAUCUUGGUGUGACUGAUGUCCAAGUACACAAAAUUUCUUCAAAAAGACCUAAAUGGAACCUACAAGGUUAAGCUCACAGUUGGAAAUGGAACUAUUGGUUGCUCCGAUGGUCCUGCUGCCAAAGCACAACUUUCAGAGCCCACAGGACUGUGCUUUGACUUUGGCAGUGCCAUUUUCCUUGCUUUGGUGGAAGCCAAAAUGGCUGCAUUAAGAUUUGCACUGCUGUGAACUUUGCAUGUAACUUUAUGGCCAAGGUAAGAGAAAUUUACCACGUGAUUGGGUUUCUCCCCAAAAAGGAAGAAAACCAUUUGGCUCAGCUUGGAAAGAAUCCCACAUCCCCAUUUGUGGAAGGCACCAACAAGCUCAUAGAUUCAUUAGCUUACUUAGAGAGCUUGGUAGCCCAGCGGAGAGAGCAUCUCAAAAUGGCAACAGCUGGCCCUGAGGGGACUGUGUACCAUGCCUCAGUUCAAGGCUUUGCAGAGACUGUGAAGGGUUUAGAAGCUCAUAUCCAAUCACUUGAGUUGUUAGAAGAGAAUCAUGUUUUAAAUUAUUUAAACCUCUAUGCCUUUGUGAAUGAAUCCCCUAAGGAGCAUGGGUUUGCAAAACACAAACCAAAAGGUCAGAACAGACAUCCUACUGUUCAACAGUAUGUGCACAGCAAAGGUCACCAUGAAGUGGAACUUGUCAGUGCCCACAUGCCUAUCACACUAACACAUUCAGUGCUUACCAGCCCAACCACAAUUCCAGAUUGUCUUCUGUGAAAACUGUUACACAGUACCAGCAAUGGAGCAAACAGUUUUGUCCUCAACAGCAGCUGGUGACCAAUGAGCAAACAGAAGAGGACCCAAAGGUGGCAAGAAUGCUUAAUGUCUUGACGAAAGCCAGACCAUCCCAGAACAUCAGGGACUUGUGUAGGUACAAAUGUGGGUAUGGCCCUUGUGUGACCACUCAAAAAGAUAUGCUCUUGCAAGGAGGUUUAGAUGGGUGUCAACUUUGCUUCCCGGCAUUUGAUGAACUGGUGAGAGCACUUGAAAUUAGGAGAGGAGAAAACACCACAGAGAUUGGCCGUGUCCCAUCCACUGAUUAUUUAUUUGUUCCUGGGGAUAUUGUAGCAGUGAACCCAGGGACAGAUAAUGAAAUCCCCAGUGCUGAUAAAUAGUGGCUUCUCCAGGUCAACAAGCCACAUGCAUUGAAUAGAGAUUUUGGAUAUUUGAAUAGAGAUUUUGGAUUUUGGCUCAAUGAACACACAUAUGAUGAGUCUACCUCUGCAAAUCAUUUAACUCUUCUACCAGAUUCAGUGAAGGUCUACUUUGGUAGCAUUAUCAAGGACAACAAAUUCCAGUUGUUGUGCCAGUGAAGGAACUGAAUUCAGAUUGGCAAAAUGGACAUGUAGUGUACACAUUAACAAAUGAGUAUUGCAACAAACUGGAUGAUGUCUGAUGCUCUUAGGCAAGAGCUGAAUUUAGUGGAGUCAUGUGUUGAGGAAAGAGGUGUGGAUUCAGACAGUAAUGAUGAUGGUGAUCAACAAACAGACGUCCACAAGGUGGAACUCACAGCUAUGCAACAUAGAAGGAGAGUGAUGAGAAAUGUAGAUGGUCAGGUCCUGACUUCUAACAGGGAACUUUCACAUCUGCAUCCAGUGAGGCAAAGCCAAUGUCAUCUACAGCAUUUAGCUCACACUGAGGGGGGAUUGGAAGCAGAACGAAAUCGUGUGGAAUUUGAUGACCAUGCAGAAGGAGAUACAGAAUAAAUGUAAAUAAUUGACAUUAAUUAUCGUUAUCUUAUCAUGACUUCAAAUUCAAUAAGUAAGAGAGAGAACUGUACAACUCAAGUCAAAAAUGUGAUGUUGUCUGCUUUGAAGAUUAGUGAGGAUUUAGUCAAUUCAAUGCAAUUCUGUAGCGUGCACCGUCUAAACAAAGUAGUGGAAGGCCCAGACCGGUCAUUGCUCAUUUCACUUAUCGAGAAGAUUGAGACCUGGUUUGGCAACAAAGAUAAAACCUAAAAGGCAGUUGUUCUAGCCUUGCCGAGGACCUGCCUCUGGCUGUACAAAAAAUCAGAAAAAUGAUAUUAGUACCAGCAAUGAGGGAAGCAUGAAAGAUAGCAGGUAUGAGAGCUAGAUCACUCGAGACCGUCUUAUUGUAAACAGAAGGCACAUUACACCUUUCAUCAAAUUCCAAAAAAAUGGAGUGGAAACAACAAAAGCUGAAUCACAAAAUUAUAUCAGACUUGUCUUAAUGUUAUUGUUUUUUCCUUCCUCCUCCUUUUUUUUCUACAAAUCAAGGGCUUAUCAAAUUUUGAUAUAAAUGUUUACUUUUAUUCGGAGUGCCAAACAAAAAUAUGCUUGUUUAAGGUCUUUAGUGUUUGUGCCAAUUACUGUUAUGUAAUAUAAGAGUUUGAUUGACAUAAUCUGAUGAUCUAGAAGCACAUGAUUGCUGUGUAUAAGGUUGGGAGAAUUUUAUAAUAAAAUUAACUGCAAUGUCAA